Molecule: long non-coding RNA, 1084 nt
Organism: Chinchilla lanigera (long-tailed chinchilla)
Lineage: Eukaryota; Metazoa; Chordata; Mammalia; Rodentia; Chinchillidae
Exons: 4
Source: RefSeq, a predicted model, not a curated record
GAGCCAAUUCUGUACAUAAUCAGAACAGCUCUUGUUAAUUGUCUCCCUUGGCCCUAGUCAAUGAAGAACACAGUUGAGGAUGCUGGCGGUCUCCUAGCGUCUGUGACUCAAGUCAGAAAAUGGGCAAGGAAAUCGAAAAUGUAAAUCUUCCAGCAAACGUGUGUGUCAAGGAGAUGCCAGACUCCCGUCAGAAAAGCAAGCUAUCAUGAAAGACGCUCAGAGAUGAAAAACAGAAGAAUUUCCAGAGAGCAUAGGCCUCUCCAACCGGAAGUGGGGGCCUACACAGGGAGGGGCGGGACUUGCCGCCAUUGGCACGUUGCAGGCCACCUGAGGACUUGACUAGGACCCUUUGCUCCCGGACUCACACCAGCUGCAGAAGUGUCAAGUAGAAAUAUAAGAGAGGAUUUUAAGUGAUAUUUCUGUCUCUCCAGGCUCCAAACCAGUGUCCCUGAAGACAUGGUGUCACAGUAAAGAACUGAACUUUCACCGGAUUGCCUAUAAAGAAGACCCAGGGAAACUUAGGAGUGGCUCAGCAUAUCCUAUCAUUUUCUGACCAAGGAACUACCUCCUGUGUGACUGUAAGUUAUUAGAAGAAUGGGAGUGAGCCACUUGCAUCAAUAAGGUCUACCUGGGUGUCUUAGUCCAUUUCCUGCUAAAAGGAUACCCAAGGUGUUUCCAGAAAUGACUGGCAUGUAGGCCAGCAAACAAAGGGAUGGGGGUGACCCACCCUGCCUGUGGCUGGCACCAUCCAAUAGCCUAAGGGUCUGGACAGACUGAAAAAGGGAGGAGGAAGAAGUUGUCCUGUGUUUUUAAAGCUCCAUUUUGCCUGAGCGGGUCUUUGCUACCGCCAUUCCUUGUGGACAUCAGACUCCGGAUUCUUUGACUUCUCCUGGUGAGCUCAUGCUGUGGACGCUGUAGGGAACUUCCAGGCCUUCACUUUUGCGCUGGCGCUACAUCCCUGAUGACUUUUGCCCUGCAGCUUCCAGCUUCUUGGAUUGAGCAGUUACUGGAUCCUCUGGCUCACCAGCAUGCUGAGAACCAUUGUGGGCCAUCACACCUCUAAUCCUAUAAACCUACUGAAUAA